CCCCUAGAUGUUCUGGGCCGCACGCGCGCUACACUGAACAGUUCAACAAGUCUUAACCUUGGCCGAUAGGUCUGGGUAAUCUUUGAACGCUGUUCGUGAUUGGGAUAGACCUUUGCAAUUAUGGGUCUUCAACGAGGAAUUCCUAGUAAACGCAAGUCAUCAGCUUGCAUUGAUUACGUCCCUGCCCUUUGUACACACCGCCCGUCGCACCUACCGAUUGAAUGGUCCGGUGAAAUCUCGGGACGGCGGCUUGGUCGCUUGCGUCCGACUGCUGAAACUUUAUUAAACCAUNUNAUUUAGNGGAAGGUGAANUCGUANCA
This 320-nucleotide ribosomal RNA is filed under the name uncultured eukaryote. RNAcentral's name for it is "partial 18S ribosomal RNA". It matches the Rfam family "Eukaryotic small subunit ribosomal RNA", at positions 1470 to 1796 of the family's 1831-position model. The record is from RNAcentral.